Elaeis guineensis (African oil palm) is the source of this 3707-nucleotide RNA transcript. It is a transcript of the gene named calmodulin-binding transcription activator 3, with no coding region annotated. The record is from RefSeq and is a predicted model, not a curated record. Lineage: Eukaryota; Viridiplantae; Streptophyta; Magnoliopsida; Arecales; Arecaceae.
UCUAAUCUCACUCUCAUCUCUCGUUCCGAAAUUAAAAAGAAUUUCGAUCUCUCCAAACCUCUGAUCUCGAAUCCCUUCUUCGUGGAAGAUUCGCUGAUCCCGAUUCCUUCUAUUUAGCCUGGAAUUUUACUUGACACUGUGCUGUUUUGGCUGCAGUUUUGGGCUUUGACUCUUCGAGUUCUGAUGCGAGAAGAGCUAGGGUCUUGAGAUCGAGUCGUGGUUGUGGGAUUAGUUGUUGGGUGAGACGAUGGCGGAUGCUCGGCGGUAUGGAUUGACCCCUCAGUUAGAUAUUGAGCAGAUACUUUUGGAAGCACAACAUCGAUGGUUACGCCCUGCGGAAAUCUGUGAAAUUCUUCGAAACUAUAGGAAAUUUCACAUAGCCCCAGAAUCACCAAAUAAACCUCCCAGUGGUUCACUUUUUCUUUUUGAUCGGAAAGUAUUGAGAUACUUCCGGAAGGAUGGCCAUAACUGGAGAAAGAAAAAAGAUGGAAAGACCGUGAAAGAAGCUCAUGAGAGACUAAAGGCUGGAAGUGUUGAUGUUCUACAUUGCUACUAUGCUCAUGGGGAGGAAAAUGAAAAUUUUCAAAGACGGAGUUAUUGGAUGUUGGAAGAGGACUACAUGCAUAUUGUUCUUGUACACUAUCUUGAAGUCAAGGGUAACAAACCAAGUUUCAGUCGUACUAGAGAUGUCGACGAAAUUGCUCAAGUUGCCAAUAUGGAAAGUCCUGUAUGUUCUAAUUCAUUCACAAAUCAUAGCCAGCUGCCUUCACAAACUACAAGCGCUGAAAGCCCAAAUAGUCCACACACUUCAGAAUAUGAAGAUGCUGAAUCUGCAGAUAAUUAUCAAGCAAGUUCCAGAUACAACUCUUUCCUUGAGAUGCAGCAGUAUGGGGAUGGACCUGUGAUGGAUGCUCAUCUGUUGAACCCUCAUGUUCCAGUUGAUUCCAUAAACAACCAAUGUGAUAUUCAGGGAGCAAAGGCUACAGAACCUAAAUCAGACUUUUAUUCGGUUGUUCAAGAGAAUAUAACUAGAGUUUUUGAUGAAACAGGCCUUGGAUUCACAUUUAGUGGGUCCAGAACACAGUUUGACCUGACAUCAUGGGAUGAAGUCCUGGAACAUUACACAACAGGGUUCCAAACACCAUCUUUCUACCCAGCAGUUGCUUCUACACCAUCAUCCACAGUGGAGGACAAUCUUAGACUCGAGACUUCAACACUUGGGGAACUACACACGGAUGACCUUGGGUUCAAGCAAGUGGAUGUUGCCAGUGCUCAAGACAAAUCAUUGUGGCAGCUUUCUAGUGCUGACAUUGAUCCACUUGUUUCAUCAAAUGUUGGUCUGCAAAAUGGUGCAUCUAUAGAGGAAAAUGUCAAUGCCCCUUCCCUUAUAACACAGGCAUCAUUAGAUUUCUCUAAUAUAGAAGGAGAAGGCCUAAAGAAAUAUGACAGUUUCUCGAGAUGGAUGAACAAUGAGCUUGGAGAAGUAGAUGACUCACAUAUGAAAUCCAGUUCUGGGGUUUACUGGAACACUGUUGAAAGUGAAAGUGUUGUUGAAGAUUCUAGCAUGUCUAAUCGUGAGCACUUAGAUGCAUAUAUAGUGAGCCCCUCACUUUCCCAAGACCAGCUUUUCAGUAUAAUUGAUUUCACUCCUAAUUGGGCAUAUAGUGGCAUGGAGACUAAGGUUUUAAUCACUGGAACAUUCUUGAAGAAUAAAGCAGAUGUAGAAAAAUGUCAAUGGUCAUGCAUGUUUGGGGAAAUUGAAGUUCCAGCUGAGAUUUUAAGAGAUGGAACUCUUCGUUGCCAUGCUCCAUCGCACAAAUCUGGAAGGGUUCAUUUUUAUGUCACCUGCUCCAACAGAUUGGCUUGUAGUGAAGUGCGGGAAUUUGAAUUCCGGGAAAAUGAUGUUCAAUAUAUGGAAGCUUCAGAUUCUUAUGGUUCCAAUACAAAUGAAAUGCGUCUUCACAUACGUUUGGAAAAGCUACUUACUUUGGGACCAGUUGACCACCUAAAAGCUGUACCUGAUAGUACCAAAGAGAAUCUUCAUUUAAGAAAUAAAAUUAGUUCACUGAUGAUGGAAGCUGAUGAUGAAUGGUCCAAUCUGCUCAAGCUAACUCAUGAGGGGUUCUCUCCUGACAGUGCAAGGGACCGGUUGCUUGAAAAAUUAAUGAAAGAGAAACUGCAUUCCUGGCUUCUUCACAAAGUAGCUGAAGAUGGUAAAGGCCCCAAUGUCUUGGAUAAGGAGGGGCAGGGUGUGCUUCAUUUGGCAGCUGCCCUUGGUUAUGAUUGGGCUAUAAAACCAACAAUAACUGCAGGUGUAAGUAUAAACUUCAGAGAUGUGCGUGGAUGGACUGCCCUUCACUGGGCAGCAAACUGUGGCAGGGAGCGGACAGUUGUUGCCCUUAUUGCCUCGGGUGCAGCUCCUGGAGCUUUAACAGAUCCUACUCCUGAGUUCCCAACUGGAAGAACACCCGCAGAUCUAGCAUCUACAAAUGGGCACAAGGGGAUUGCUGGCUUUUUGGCAGAGUCUUCUCUGACUAACCAUCUUUCAGCCCUCACUUUGAAGGAGUCAAAAGGCAUUGAUGUCACAGAAAUUUCUGGUAUUACAGAUGUUGAAGAUGUUGCAGAAAAGAGUGCCAUUCAAGUUGCUGAGGGAGAUGUGCAGGCUGGACUUUCACUGAAGGAUUCAUUGAGUGCUGUUCGCAAUGCUUCUCUAGCUGCAGCUCGAAUCUAUCAAGUUUUCAGAGUUCAUUCAUUCCACCGAAAGAAGGUCACUGAGUAUGGAAAUGACAAAUGUGGAAUAUCAGAUGAGCGUGCUCUUUCUCUCAUCUCUCUCAAAACAGCCAAGCCAGGACAACAUGAUAUGCCUCCGCAUGCAGCUGCAAUUCGUAUACAAAACAAGUUUAGAGGGUGGAAAGGAAGAAAGGAGUUUUUGAUUAUUCGGCAGCGUAUUGUUAAGAUCCAGGCCCAUGUACGAGGAUACCAAGUGAGGAAACAUUACAAAAAGAUCAUCUGGUCAGUUUUGAUUGUGGAGAAAGCUAUAUUGCGGUGGAGGCGGAAAGGAAGCGGAUUACGUGGUUUCCGGUCUGAAGGACUAUUGGAGGGUCCUGCCAUGCAAAACCAAGGAACUAAAGAGGAUGAUUAUGACUUCUUGCAAGAAGGCAGAAAACAGACCGAGGCCAGGCUACAGAAAGCACUUGCAAGAGUUAGAUCCAUGGUUCAAUAUCCAGAAGCAAGAGAUCAGUACCGAAGGCUUCUAAAUGUUGUCACUGAGCUCCAGGAGUCCAAGAAUGUCUGGUAGCUGUCUGGUCACAAUAUAUGCUGCACCUUUAUUCUUCUUCUUCUUCUUUUUUGUGGAGAACUAUGAUGAGACUAGUACCCAGCAUCUGCAUUUGCCAACCAGUGGACCAGCCUUGUUGGCUUAGUGGCCAUGCAAGAUAGAAUUACGAAUGAGUCAGAGGAGGCUGCUGACGGCGAGUUCAUGAUUGAACUGGAAGAGCUAUGGCAGGAUGACACCCCCAUGCCCACAGCUUAAUAUGGUUUCAUAUGAUGAAGAUUUGCAUCUGUAUACCUCCCAACUACUGCUGUAAAUUAUCUGCUUCGUGGGUUGUGCAAUGGACGAUCGACAUAUAUGCUGUAUAUACAUGUACUGGUCGUAUGCAACUUAGGGAUGAAGUUAUAGAUAUGGAUGCUUUGGAUUAAUUUCUCUC